RNAcentral lists this ribosomal RNA (496 nucleotides) under uncultured bacterium. RNAcentral's name for it is "partial 16S ribosomal RNA". It matches the Rfam family "Bacterial small subunit ribosomal RNA", at positions 29 to 507 of the family's 1533-position model. The record is from RNAcentral.
AUGCACGCUGGCGGCGUGCCUAAUACAUCCAAGUCGCGCGAACGGACGAGAAGCUUGCUUCUCUGAUGUUAGCGGCGGACGGGUGAGUAACACGUGGAUAACCUACCUAUAAGACUGGGAUAACUUCGGGAAACCGGAGCUAAUACCGGAUAAUAUUUUGAACCGCAUGGUUCAAAAGUGAAAGACGGUCUUGCUGUCACUUAUAGAUGGAUCCGCGCUGCAUUAGCUAGUUGGUAAGGUAACGGCUUACCAAGGCAACGAUGCAUAGCCGACCUGAGAGGGUGAUCGGCCACACUGGAACUGAGACACGGUCCAGACUCCUACGGGAGGCAGCAGUAGGGAAUCUUCCGCAAUGGGCGAAAGCCUGACGGAGCAACGCCGCGUGAGUGAUGAAGGUCUUCGGAUCGUAAAACUCUGUUAUUAGGGAAGAACAUAUGUGUAAGUAACUGUGCACAUCUUGACGGUACCUAAUCAGAAAGCCACGGCUAACUACGUG